This 1512-nucleotide small RNA is filed under the name Nostoc commune NC3-K1. Its description in RNAcentral is "bacterial SSU rRNA". The stretch from base 1 to 1164 matches the Rfam family "Bacterial small subunit ribosomal RNA", at positions 356 to 1533 of the family's 1533-position model. The record is from RNAcentral. Lineage: Bacteria; Bacillati; Cyanobacteriota; Cyanophyceae; Nostocales; Nostocaceae.
GGGGAAUUUUCCGCAAUGGGCGAAAGCCUGACGGAGCAAUACCGCGUGAGGGAGGAAGGCUCUUGGGUCGUAAACCUCUUUUCUCAGGGAAGAACACAAUGACGGUACCUGAGGAAUAAGCAUCGGCUAACUCCGUGCCAGCAGCCGCGGUAAUACGGAGGAUGCAAGCGUUAUCCGGAAUGAUUGGGCGUAAAGCGUCCGCAGGUGGCAAUGUAAGUCUGCUGUUAAAGAGUGAGGCUCAACCUCAUAAGAGCAGUGGAAACUACAUAGCUAGAGUACGUUCGGGGCAGAGGGAAUUCCUGGUGUAGCGGUGAAAUGCGUAGAGAUCAGGAAGAACACCGGUGGCGAAGGCGCUCUGCUAGGCCGUAACUGACACUGAGGGACGAAAGCUAGGGGAGCGAAUGGGAUUAGAUACCCCAGCAGUCCUAGCCGUAAACGAUGGAUACUAGGCGUGGCUUGUAUCGACCCGAGCCGUGCCGUAGCUAACGCGUUAAGUAUCCCGCCUGGGGAGUACGCCGGCAACGGUGAAACUCAAAGGAAUUGACGGGGGCCCGCACAAGCGGUGGAGUAUGUGGUUUAAUUCGAUGCAACGCGAAGAACCUUACCAAGGCUUGACAUGUCGCGAAUCCUGGUGAAAGCCGGGAGUGCCUUCGGGAGCGCGAACACAGGUGGUGCAUGGCUGUCGUCAGCUCGUGUCGUGAGAUGUUGGGUUAAGUCCCGCAACGAGCGCAACCCUCGUUUUUAGUUGCCAGCAUUAAGUUGGGCACUCUAGAGAGACUGCCGGUGACAAACCGGAGGAAGGUGGGGAUGACGUCAAGUCAGCAUGCCCCUUACGCCUUGGGCUACACACGUACUACAAUGCUCCGGACAGAGGGCAGCAAGCGGGCGAACGCAAGCAAAUCCCGUAAACCGGAGCUCAGUUCAGAUCGCAGGCUGCAACUCGCCUGCGUGAAGGAGGAAUCGCUAGUAAUUGCAGGUCAGCAUACUGCAGUGAAUUCGUUCCCGGGCCUUGUACACACCGCCCGUCACACCAUGGAAGCUGGUAGUGCCCGAAGUCAUUACUCCAACCUUUCGGGGAGGAGGAUGCCUAAGGCAGGACUGGUGACUGGGGUGAAGUCGUAACAAGGUAGCCGUACCGGAAGGUGUGGCUGGAUCACCUCCUUUUUAGGGAGACCUACACCCCUUAGAUAUCGAAAAGCAAACAGCUAUAUAGAUACUGAGUUGGUCUAACCUAGGUCGGUCGAGAUUGGAAUAAAGCUUUCAAAGUAUUAAUGGUUCAGAAUAUCAAACAAAAUUAAAAAAUAUUGAGAGUUCAGCAAUAUGGCUUAACUGAAGUCAGACUGCUGAGUUGUAUCUCAGCCAGAACCUUGAAAACUGCAUAGUAACGCGAAAAAAGCAGGCAGACACAGAGAAUCUUUACAGAUGUUUUUGUGAAUGCAAGUCAUAAAAAGACCAAAUGAAUUGAGUGGUCAAGCGAAUAAGGGCUAACGGUGGAUACCUAGGCACACAGAG